Molecule: non-coding RNA, 69 nt
Organism: Rattus norvegicus (Norway rat)
Lineage: Eukaryota; Metazoa; Chordata; Mammalia; Rodentia; Muridae
Source: Rfam
GGGGAUUUAGCUCAGUGGUAGAGCACUUGCCUAGCAAGCACAAGGCCCUGGGUUCGGUCCCCAGCUCUG